Long non-coding RNA from Hordeum vulgare subsp. vulgare (domesticated barley), 765 nucleotides. RefSeq lists it as uncharacterized. The record is from RefSeq and is a predicted model, not a curated record. The transcript is spliced from 3 exons. NCBI's taxonomy places the organism in Eukaryota, Viridiplantae, Streptophyta, Magnoliopsida, Poales, Poaceae.
UUCCCUCUUCCUCCUCCCCCUUCUUCUCAUUCUCAUCCUUUGGUUUCGCCCUGUUCUUGUUCUUGGUAAGGACGAGGCAAACUUUGCUUCACGAGAGCUUAAGCUUCAAGCCAUCAAGGUCAAAAUGGGUGAAGCUGAGGGUGGGUUCACUCCACUGUCUCAGUUGAAGCCGUCACCGGAGCACAGGCACAGAGUCCGGGUGCGCAUCUCGCGGAUUUGGGAGUCCUUCAACCCAAACGAUGGCACAGUGUUCGGCCUUGACAGCCUUCUCAUCGACGAUGAGGUGAUGAUGCAUUCCCUACCCGAUGGUUCUUGAUGCCACCUGCUACUAUUGUCCAGUUAGCACCCUCCGAGGUUUCUCGACACAAUGAUCCUUCUUUUCGCCUUUCACUUGUAGGGUGGAACCAUGCAAGCCCAUGUACAUCGAAAAGUUAAAAAGCGUGUCGAAGAACGGUUAAUUGAAGGGAAGGUCUACACCCUGUCAGAUUUUGAAGUUUGUUCAAGCAAGGGGAACUACAUGGCCUGUAGGAACCCCUUCAUGAUGAACAUUGGAGCGCAGACGGUGAUAGAUGAGAUCGAUGGAGAUGUCAACGUGAUACCUCUCCACCACUUUGAUUUUGUUGACUUUGGUGAUGUUCCUCCUUCGAUGGGCCUCAACAAUAGCUCAUUGACAGAUGUUAUUGGCCAAGUAGUAGAAGUUUGGCCCAUACAGCAGGUCCCGAAAAAACUCUGCGCGUUACAAUUUUGCAGCUUAUGGAUUGAGGA